This 263-nucleotide unclassified non-coding RNA is filed under the name uncultured fungus. RNAcentral describes it as "sequence contains ITS2". Lineage: Eukaryota; Fungi. The record is from RNAcentral.
CCAACUGUGCCUUUUUGGUGCGAGGUGGCCUGCGUGCAGCGCGUGUCUUGCGGCGUGUGUUGUGCAGCGGGCCGAAAAGAAGCCAGUCAGGCUGGGCGGUCUGGCAGUGUGCUAGAGACCAAGGGCAUGCGUGCGGGGAUUGUGCGGAAUGUGGAGAGGUGCGGAUGGUGGACCAUCGUCUGCGCUGAUCUGCACUCUGCCCGCCGCGUUCGCAUGUCGCUGUCUUGUCGCUGCCAGCACCAACCAGCUCACACACUUACACU